AGUUGGAAGAUUGGGUCUCGGCAGAUAUCAUAUGGACUGCCAGAUCUAACUCUUCCAGCUCA
Molecule: microRNA precursor, 62 nt
Filed under: Nautilus pompilius
Lineage: Eukaryota; Metazoa; Mollusca; Cephalopoda; Nautilida; Nautilidae
Description: Npo-Mir-750_pre stem-loop
Source: RNAcentral